GACGAACGCUGGCGGCGUGCCUAAUACAUGCAAGUAGAACGCUGAAGGAGGAGCUUGCUUCUCUGGAUGAGUUGCGAACGGGUGAGUAACGCGUAGGUAACCUGCCUGGUAGCGGGGGAUAACUAUUGGAAACGAUAGCUAAUACCGCAUAACAGUAGAUAUCGCAUGAUAUCUACUUGAAAGGUGCAAUUGCAUCACUACCAGAUGGACCUGCGUUGUAUUAGCUAGUUGGUGAGGUAACGGCUCACCAAGGCGACGAUACAUAGCCGACCUGAGAGGGGGAUCGGCCACACUGGGACUGAGACACGGCCCAGACUCCCACGGGGGGCAGCAGUAGGGAAUCUUCGGCAAUGGACGGAAGUCUGACCGAGCAACGCCGCGGGAGUGAAGAAGGUUUUCGGAUCGUAAAGCUCUGUUGUAAGAGAAGAACGAGUGUGAGAGUGGAAAGUUCACACUGUGACGGUAUCUUACCAGAAAGGGACGGCUAACUACGUG
This 495-nucleotide ribosomal RNA is filed under the name uncultured bacterium. Its description in RNAcentral is "partial 16S ribosomal RNA". It matches the Rfam family "Bacterial small subunit ribosomal RNA", at positions 28 to 507 of the family's 1533-position model. The record is from RNAcentral.